Molecule: ribosomal RNA, 251 nt
Filed under: uncultured bacterium
Lineage: Bacteria
Description: partial 16S ribosomal RNA
Rfam family: Bacterial small subunit ribosomal RNA
Source: RNAcentral
UACGGGGGGCAAGCGUUGUUCGGAAUUACUGGGCGUAAAGGGCGCGUAGGUGGCCAACUAAGUCAGACGUGAAAUCCCUCGGCUUAACCGGGGAACUGCGUCUGAUACUGGAUGGCUUGAGUUUGGGAGAGGGACGCGGAAUUCCAGGUGUAGCGGUGAAAUGCGUAGAUAUGCGGAGGAACACCGAUGGCGAAGGCAAUCCCCUGGGCCUGCACUGACGCUCAUGCACGAAAGCGUGGGGAGCAAACAGG